AACGAACGCUGGCGGCAGGCUUAACACAUGCAAGUCGAACGCCCCGCAAGGGGAGUGGCAGACGGGUGAGUAACGCGUGGGAACAUACCCUUUUCUACGGAAUAGCUCUGGGAAACUGGAAUUAAUACCGUAUACGCCCUACGGGGGAAAGAUUUAUCGGGGAAGGAUUGGCCCGCGUUGGAUUAGCUAGUUGGUGGGGUAAAGGCCUACCAAGGCGACGAUCCAUAGCUGGUCUGAGAGGAUGAUCAGCCACAUUGGGACUGAGACACGGCCCAAACUCCUACGGGAGGCAGCAGUGGGGAAUAUUGUACAAUGGGCGCAAGCCUGAUCCAGCCAUGCCGCGUGAGUGAUGAAGGCCUUAGGGUUGUAAAGCUCUUUCACCGAUGAAGAUAAUGACGGUAGUCGGAGAAGAAGCCCCGGCUAACUUCGUG
RNAcentral lists this ribosomal RNA (431 nucleotides) under uncultured bacterium. Its description in RNAcentral is "partial 16S ribosomal RNA". It matches the Rfam family "Bacterial small subunit ribosomal RNA", at positions 29 to 507 of the family's 1533-position model. The record is from RNAcentral.